RNAcentral lists this long non-coding RNA (1757 nucleotides) under Sus scrofa (pig). RNAcentral describes it as "lncRNA (ENSSSCG00000027988.4)". The record is from RNAcentral. Lineage: Eukaryota; Metazoa; Chordata; Mammalia; Artiodactyla; Suidae.
CCGAGCGCUGGGCGCCAUUUUGAAAAGGAAGAGGUAAUCCCGCGGCGGCUGCUUGGCUGAGGUGUUCGCGGUGGCGGCGCGGCGGCCGCUUCCUUCUCCCGCCGCCGCCUCGGCGCCCGCCCGCCAUGGCAGAGUAAAAGCCGCCCUCAUUCUCCAGGAGAGGAGAACGUAAUGCUGACAGCAGCUGCCAGAGUCGCGAGCCAGAGUUGGACAAGAAAUUGAAGAAAAAUGAACCAAAUUAGGUGGUUCCUGCAACAGAAUGCUGCGCAUUUUCUGCUCUCUACAAAUGGUUUUGAGGCGCCAGAAGAGCCCAGCAGUAGGUCCUUCUCCGAGACUCCCUGUCGGUGAAGAUGCGGGACCUCAACGGGGAGAGCCGGCCCGUCCAGACCGCCAGAGCGCUGGAGCGUGUGCAGAGCUUCUGACUCGGAGCGCACCUGUCCCCAGGUGAGGUCUGGGAGGAGCCUUAACUGCAGCCACCCCUGAGCGGGAAAGGGCAGGAGCAGCAGCAGCACAAUCCCUGCUGGGACGUCGCCACCUGCCUGAGCCUCCAGUUCGCCAUGGCCGGCACGGCCACGCUCUGUAAACCUGUGUGAAAAGUACUACGGGGGGACCUGCACGCCGGACUUCGCACUGCGUCUCAAGCCGUCGGAAUUCAGCCGUUUUAACUGUUGGGUGAUGCCACCUGGACCUUGGUGGUUUAUUUUUAAAGUAGGGUCUUAAAUAACAACGCAGAUUUCCCAAGACCAAAAUCCCAGAGGUGACACACUAAGUGACAGGAACCUCACCCGCAAGCCCAGGUCGCGGUGGCGUCCGGGGGCGGGACAGCGGGCUUCCAGGCUCCCGCGAGGGCAGGGCGCGUUCUGGUUACGGGCGCUGUGGACGGGCAGGAACGAAGCGUCUUGUCGUCCCUGCCUCUGAAUUAACGCGGACGGGGCCUCCUCAGUUCACCUUCAUUUGGGAAUCGAGGGUCACGAGUACAUUUAACUUAAAGCUGGCUCUUGCUGUGCGUUGCCGGAGGCACAGCUUACAGAUCUGACACGGGGAACAGAGUUGCUUAAGUACCCGUCAGCCCUGGUCCCUAAGGAGCAGCAGUUCUGGGAGUUCCCGUCGUGGCACAGCAGUAAUGAACCCAACUGGUAUCCAUGAGGACGCGGGUUCGAUCCCUGGCCUCGCUCAGUGGGCUAAGGAUCGUGAGCUGUGGUGUGGAGCGCAGACGUGGCUCAGAUCCCGCCUUGCUGUGGCUGUGGUGGAGGCUGGCAGCUGCAGCCCCGGUUCAGCCCCUAGCCUGGGAAGCUCCACAUGCCGCGGGUGUGGCCCUAAGGUCAAAAAAAUAAAGGAAAAAAAACUCUAGUAAAAUGGGAUUGAUUGUAUGUAUUUGUUCAACUCUUUUGACCAAAAAGCAUAGUAAAUUUGGAAUGUUUAGCUGGACUUGUAUCGUGUUCGGGACAGCUUCUCCGCCCUUCCCUUGAAGACACACUUCCCACCCACAGGAAACCAGCCUCUGCCUCCGGCGCAGCCUCGCGGGCGUGUGUUCAGGCGGCCGAGUGGCCGCAUGGCCCGGUGGCUCUGCUCUGUCACACAGUUGUGACCCCUCAAUGCCCCUGGUCCCUCCUGAUGAGGGAAACCCUGUGGUUUUCAGAUGUACCGUUUAUUUCUUCCCGUUCUCUCUUUAUGAAACAUCUGUCAUUUUUCUUGUUUUUCUAAAACUUGCCCCUCUUCGCUUGUGUAUCUGUUCCUGAAAGAGAACAUGUGAGCCU